AGAGCGAACGCUGGCGGCAGGCUUAACACAUGCAAGUCGAGCGGGCGUAGCAAUACGUCAGCGGCAGACGGGUGAGUAACGCGUGGGAACAUACCUUUUGGUUCGGAACAACACAGGGAAACUUGUGCUAAUACCGAAUAAGCCCUUACGGGGAAAGAUUUAUCGCCGAAAGAUUGGCCCGCGUCUGAUUAGCUAGUUGGUAGGGUAAUGGCCUACCAAGGCGACGAUCAGUAGCUGGUCUGAGAGGAUGAUCAGCCACAUUGGGACUGAGACACGGCCCAAACUCCUACGGGAGGCAGCAGUGGGAAUAUUGGACAAUGGGGGCAACCCUGAUCCAGCCAUGCCGCGUGAGUGAUGAAGGCCCUAGGGUUGUAAAGCUCUUUUGUGCGGGAAGAUAAUGACGGUACCGCAAGAAUAAGCCCCGGCUAACUUCGUGCCAGCAGCCGC
Molecule: ribosomal RNA, 447 nt
Filed under: uncultured bacterium
Lineage: Bacteria
Description: SSU rRNA
Rfam family: Bacterial small subunit ribosomal RNA
Source: RNAcentral